GAUGAACGCUAGCGGCAGGCCUAACACAUGCAAGUCGAGGGGUAGAAGGAGCUUGCUCCUUUGAGACCGGCUCACGGGUGCGUAACUCGUAUGCAAUUUACCUUGUACAGGGGAAUAGCCCAGAGAAAUUUGGAUUAAUGCCCCAUAGUAUAUAACCUUCGCUUGUUGGUUAUAUUAAAGUUCUAACGGUACAUGAUGAGCAUGCCUCCCAUUAGUUAGUUGGUAAGGUAACGGCUUACCAGGACGAUGAUGGGUAGGGGUCCUGAGAGGGAGAUCCCCCACACUGGGACUGGGAAAAGGACCAGACACAUACGGGAGGCAGCAGUGAGGAAUGUUGGUCAAUGGUAGCAAGAAUGAACCAGCCAAGCCGGAUGCAGGAAGACGGUCCUAGGGAUGGUAAACUGCUUGUAUAAAGGAAGAAACGCUCCCGCGUGUGGGAGCUUGACGGUACUGGAGGAAUAAGGAUCGGCUAACUCCGUG
RNAcentral lists this ribosomal RNA (480 nucleotides) under uncultured bacterium. Its description in RNAcentral is "partial 16S ribosomal RNA". It matches the Rfam family "Bacterial small subunit ribosomal RNA", at positions 28 to 507 of the family's 1533-position model. The record is from RNAcentral.